This 253-nucleotide ribosomal RNA is filed under the name uncultured bacterium. RNAcentral describes it as "partial 16S ribosomal RNA". It matches the Rfam family "Bacterial small subunit ribosomal RNA", at positions 524 to 776 of the family's 1533-position model. The record is from RNAcentral.
UACAGAGGGGGCAAGCGUUGUUCGGAAUUAUUGGGCGUAAAGCGCACGUAGGCGGCUUUGCAAGUCGGAUGUGAAAUCCCUCGGCUUAACCAAGGAAGUGCAUCCGAAACUGCAGAGCUUGAGUACUUAAGAGGAUCGCGGAAUUCCCGGUGUAGAGGUGAAAUUCGUAGAUAUCGGGAAGAACACCAGUGGCGAAGGCGGCUCACUGGUCCGGUACUGACGCUGAGGUGCGAAAGCGUGGGGAGCAAACAGG